This 497-nucleotide ribosomal RNA is filed under the name uncultured bacterium. RNAcentral's name for it is "partial 16S ribosomal RNA". It matches the Rfam family "Bacterial small subunit ribosomal RNA", at positions 28 to 507 of the family's 1533-position model. The record is from RNAcentral.
GAUGAACGCUGGCGGCGUGCCUAAUACAUGCAAGUCGAGCGAACAGACGAGGAUCUUGCUCCGCUGACGUGAGCGGAGGACGUGUGUGUAACACGUGUAUAACCUACUUAUAAGAGGGGGAUAACUUGGGGAAACGGGAGCUAAUACCGGAGAAGAUAUUGAACCGUAGGGGUGAAUAGAGAAAGACGGCUUUGGUGGAUCGAAUAGAUGGUUCCGCGCCGCAUUAUCGAGUAGUGGAGGUAACGGGUUACGAAGGCGACGAGGCGUAGCCGACCUGAGAGAGUGAUCGGCCACACUGGAACGGAGACACGGACCAGACUACUACGGGAGGCAGCAGUAGGCAAUCUUACGCAGUGGGCGAAAGCCUGACGGAACGACGCCGAGUGAGUGAUGACGGUCUUCGGAUCGUGAAACUCUGUUAUUAGGGAAGAACAAAUGUGUAAGUAACUAUGCACGUCUUGACGGUACCUAAUCAGGAAGCCACGGCUAACUACGUG